AGCGGCAGACGGGUGAGUAACACGUAGGUGAUCUACCCCAGAGACGGGGAUAACGGGUGGAAACAUCCGCUAAUACCGGAUAGGCUUGUUCGGUCAAAGGGACAAGGAAAGGCUCCGGCGCUCUGGGAGGAGCCUGCGGCCCAUCAGCUAGUUGGCGGGGUAACGGCCCACCAAGGCAAAGACGGGUAGGGGGUGUGAGAGCAUGGCCCCCCACAAUGGGACUGGAACACGGCCCAUACUCCUACGGGAGGCAGCAGCAGGGAAUAUUGCACAAUGGACGGAAGUCUGAUGCAGCGACGCCGCGUGGAUGAAGAAGGCCCUCGGGUUGUAAAAUCCUUUACAGGGGGAAGAGGAAGGACGGUACCCCUGGAACAAGUGUCGGCUAACUACGUGCCAGCAGCCGCGGUAAGACGUAGGACACAAGCGUUAUCCGGAUUUACUGGGCGUAAAGCGUCUGCAGGCGGACAGGUAAGUUGGGCGUGAAAGCUCCGGAGCCAACCCGGAGAGGUCGUUCAAUACUGCGUGUCUAGAGGGUGUCAGAGGGGAGUGGAAUUUCCGGAGUAGCGGUAAAAUGCGCAGAGAUCGGAAAGAACACCAAUGGCGAAGGCAGUUCCCUGGGGCAAACCUGACGCUAAGAGACGAAAGCUAGGGGAGCGAACAGGAUUGGAGACCCUGGGUAGUCUAGCCCUUAACGAUGGAUGCUGGAUGUGGGGCCAUAGCGCUCCGUGUAGAAGCGAACGCGUUAAGCUAUCCCGCGUGGGGAAUACGCCCGACAGAGGUUAAGACUCACACGAUUUGACGAGACCGCGCACGAGCCGCAGAGCGUGUGGUAAAACGAGACGAUACACGAAGCACCACACCGGGGUGAGAUAUAGAGGUGAUAGAAACGCGAAAGCAGAGAGACCUUGCGGAGAGUAUACACAGGCCGGACAUCGCUCUCCUCGAGCUCGCCCUGUGAGGUCUCGGGUUAAGACUCCUGUCAGCGAGCGAAACCCUGCCCCUCGGUUAAACGGGUGAAGAGGGAACGACGGCCGUAUAACCCGAAGAAAGUGGGGAAGAAAUCAAAGCAACAAGGCCUUUAAUAUCUAGGACUACACACACGCUACAAUGGCCAGUACAAAGGGCAGCGAAGCCGCGAGGUGGAGCGAAUCCCAGCAA
Molecule: ribosomal RNA, 1158 nt
Filed under: uncultured organism
Description: bacterial SSU rRNA
Rfam family: Bacterial small subunit ribosomal RNA
Source: RNAcentral